GUGUCAGCAGCCGCGGUAAUACAGAGGCCUCAAGCGUUGUUCGGAAUCACUGGGCGUAAAGGGUGCGUAGGCGGCGCGGAAAGUCAGGGGUGAAAUCCCGGAGCUCAACUCCGGAACUGCCCUUGAUACUCCCGCGCUUGAGAACUGGAGGGGACAUCGGAAUUCACGGUGGAGCAGUGAAAUGCGUGGAUAUCGUGAGGAACACUAGUGGCGAAGGCGGAUGUCUGGACAGUAUCUGACGCUGAGGCACGAAGGCCAGGGGAGCGAACGGGAUUAGAUACCCCUGUAGUCC
This 292-nucleotide ribosomal RNA is filed under the name uncultured bacterium. Its description in RNAcentral is "partial 16S ribosomal RNA". It matches the Rfam family "Bacterial small subunit ribosomal RNA", at positions 505 to 796 of the family's 1533-position model. The record is from RNAcentral.